This 679-nucleotide small RNA is filed under the name Histoplasma capsulatum var. duboisii H88. RNAcentral's name for it is "Histoplasma capsulatum H88 hypothetical RNA". The record is from RNAcentral. Lineage: Eukaryota; Fungi; Ascomycota; Eurotiomycetes; Onygenales; Ajellomycetaceae.
UUACCCAAUUCUUAUCCAAAUUCGACUCUGUGAACUAGUAUAGAAACAAUUGUAUUGGUCAAACAGACUCGAUAUGUAUUAGCGAAGAUGUGGCCCGACAUUUCAUUAGUGGUAGGAGUGUCUUGAGUACAAGUCCGGAAGUAAAUACGGUGGUUGCAUUCUAAUGCUCUGCCCUCUUAGGCUUGGGGGAAUCGCCAGCAGUGUUAAAGCCCAGGCACAGCAAAAACGAAAGAAAGCAUACAGAGGUGAAAGAAAGAUUCUGAGAAAAAAAAAAUAGAAUAUCAGCAGAGCUGGUGGGAAUAAGAACAUCUGCAUAGCAUGCCCUGCCAUCAGCUGGGUAUCAGUCGAAAGAGUCCUAUAAAAUAAAAACAAUUUUCUGUUGUCUUUUUCUGCCCAAGCAAUCUCCCUCGUCAUCCCAUAACGCAUAGAGCUGAGACGAAAGUACACAUCAGAAGCGGGAAGAAAAAUAAAAAUAAAAAAAUACAAAGAAAAAAAAUUCCCCGUUUAACUCAGUCGUUCAAAGAUUGCCUUUUGAAGGAAACGCCACUCCCUCCGUAGCCUGAGUAUCUGUAAACCAGCUCACUUUCUCCGCACCAGCGGCAUUCACCAAAGCGCAUGGCAGACUCCUCCCGUCCUCUGUAUCAAAGAUCCGCCUCAUGAUGUCCUUCUUCCCUCCACC